AUGCCACUCUCCGACUCCCGGUUGCGGUGCAUCGACCAACAACCGAUCAUUGACAAGUUGGCCAAGCGCAUGGGUGGCUGGAAGGCGAGACACAUCGCACUAUCGGGCCGUGUUGAACUCAUGCGCGCCAUGCUCUCGGGCAUGGUCAUAUUCCAGCUCAUGGCUUUGGAUCCUCUGGUUUGGUUGGUAAAAAAAGUGGACAAGCUUCAUUGUGGUUUUCUCUGGGCGUAGCACGAGGAGGCAACAGCCGGUAAAUGCCUGGUGAACUGGUCAGCGGUGUGUCGCCCAUGGGAAUACGGUGGUCUUGGCAUCCCAGACUUGCAGAGGCAAGGCAGAGCUCUGCGCUGCCGUUGGCAAUGGCUUAUCUGGACUGACCGCUCUAGGCCAUGGCACGGACUUCCCUUACCCGCUGACCGCACUGCCGAGGAACUCUUCCAAGCAUCAACCAAAAUCACCAUUGGGGAUGGUAGGAGCACCCCUUUCUGGGACUCGCAUUGGGCACAGGGUAUG
This 510-nucleotide ribosomal RNA is filed under the name Triticum aestivum (bread wheat). RNAcentral describes it as "partial small subunit ribosomal RNA". The record is from RNAcentral. Lineage: Eukaryota; Viridiplantae; Streptophyta; Magnoliopsida; Poales; Poaceae.